RNAcentral lists this transfer RNA (61 nucleotides) under Heterocephalus glaber (naked mole-rat). It matches the Rfam family "tRNA", at positions 6 to 65 of the family's 71-position model. Rfam says of the family: Transfer RNA (tRNA) molecules are approximately 80 nucleotides in length. The record is from Rfam by way of RNAcentral. Lineage: Eukaryota; Metazoa; Chordata; Mammalia; Rodentia; Bathyergidae.
UGUAGCUCAGUGGUAGAGCACUUGCCUAGCAUGUGUCAGGCUCUGGGUUCAAUCCCCAGCA